AACAGCAGCCAUAUCCCCCUGCAGCCCAAGGCUGGUUGCCCACUGAAGCUAAGCAGGGUUGAACCUGGUCAGUACCUGGAUGGGAGACCUCCUGGGAAAACUAGGUUGCUGCUGGAA
Ribosomal RNA from Sinocyclocheilus anshuiensis, 117 nucleotides. The record is from Ensembl. NCBI's taxonomy places the organism in Eukaryota, Metazoa, Chordata, Actinopteri, Cypriniformes, Cyprinidae.